Molecule: ribosomal RNA, 440 nt
Filed under: uncultured bacterium
Lineage: Bacteria
Description: partial 16S ribosomal RNA
Rfam family: Bacterial small subunit ribosomal RNA
Source: RNAcentral
CCUACGGGAGGCAGCAGUGGGGGAUAUUGCACAAUGGGGGGAACCCUGAUGCAGCGACGCCGCGUGGGUGAAGAAGCGCCUCGGCGCGUAAAGCCCUGUCAGCAGGGAAGAAAAUGACGGUACCUGAAGAAGAAGCCCCGGCUAACUACGUGCCAGCAGCCGCGGUAAUACGUAGGGGGCAAGCGUUAUCCGGAUUUACUGGGUGUAAGGGGGGCGCAGACGGCGAUGCAAGCCAGGAGUGAAAGCCCGGGGCCCAACCCCGGGACUGCGCUUGGAACUGCGUGGCUGGAGUGCGGGAGGGGCAGGCGGAAUGCGUGGUGUAGCGGUGAAAUGCGUAGAUAUCAGGAGGAACACCGGUGGCGAAGGCGGCCUGCUGGAGUGCAACUGACGGUGAGGCCCGAAAGCGUGGGGAGCAAACAGGAUUAGAUACCCCGGUAGUC